RNAcentral lists this ribosomal RNA (737 nucleotides) under uncultured bacterium. RNAcentral describes it as "bacterial SSU rRNA". It matches the Rfam family "Bacterial small subunit ribosomal RNA", at positions 51 to 787 of the family's 1533-position model. The record is from RNAcentral.
ACACAUGCAAGUCGAACGGAGAUUACAGGCGGAAGUUUUCGGAUGGAAGCUUGUAAACUUAGUGGCGGACGGGUGAGUAACACGUGAGCAACCUGCCUAUCAGAGGGGGAUAACGAUUGGAAACGAUCGCUAAUACCGCAUGACAUAGCGGAACCGCAUGGUUCUGUUAUCAAAGAUUUUAUCGCUGAUAGAUGGGCUCGCGUCCGAUUAGAUAGUUGGUGGGGUAACGGCCUACCAAGUCGACGAUCGGUAGCCGGACUGAGAGGUCGAACGGCCACAUUGGGACUGAGACACGGCCCAGACUCCUACGGGAGGCAGCAGUGGGGGAUAUUGCACAAUGGGGGAAACCCUGAUGCAGCGACGCCGCGUGAGGGAAGACGGUCCUCUGGAUUGUAAACCUCUGUCUUCGGGGACGAAACGAGACGGUACCCGAGGAGGAAGCCACGGCUAACUACGUGCCAGCAGCCGCGGUAAUACGUAGGUGGCAAGCGUUGUCCGGAAUUACUGGGUGUAAAGGGAGCGUAGGCGGGCAGGCAAGUCAGGCGUGAAAUAUAUCGGCUCAACCGGUAACGGCGCUUGAAACUGCAGGUCUUGAGUGAAGUAGAGGUUGGCGGAAUUCCUAGUGUAGCGGUGAAAUGCGUAGAUAUUAGGAGGAACACCAGUGGCGAAGGCGGCCAACUGGGCUUUUACUGACGCUGAGGCUCGAAAGUGUGGGGAGCAAACAGGAUUAGAUACCC